GAUGAACGCUGGCGGCGUGCCUAAUACAUGCAAGUCGAGCGAACAGACGAGGAGCUUGCUCCUCUGACGUUAGCGGCGGACGGGUGAGUAACACGUGGAUAACCUACCUAUAAGACUGGGAUAACUUCGGGAAGCCGGAGCUAAUACCGGAUAAUAUAUUGAACCGCAUGGUUCAAUAGUGAAAGACGGUUUUGCUGUCACUUAUAGAUGGAUCCGCGCCGCAUUAGCUAGUUGGUAAGGUAACGGCUUACCAAGGCGACGAUGCGUAGCCGACCUGAGAGGGUGAUCGGCCACACUGGAACUGCGACACGGUCCAGACUCCUACGGGAGGCAGCAGUAGGGAAUCUUCCGCAAUGGGCGAAAGCCUGACGGAGCAACGCCGCGUGAGUGAUGAAGGUCUUCGGAUCGUAAAACUCUGUUAUUAGGGAAGAACAAAUGUGUAAGUAACUAUGCACGUCUUGACGGUACCUAAUCAGAAAGCCACGGCUAACUACGUG
Molecule: ribosomal RNA, 497 nt
Filed under: uncultured bacterium
Lineage: Bacteria
Description: partial 16S ribosomal RNA
Rfam family: Bacterial small subunit ribosomal RNA
Source: RNAcentral